RNAcentral lists this ribosomal RNA (246 nucleotides) under uncultured bacterium. RNAcentral's name for it is "partial 16S ribosomal RNA". It matches the Rfam family "Bacterial small subunit ribosomal RNA", at positions 8 to 244 of the family's 1533-position model. The record is from RNAcentral.
AGAGUUUGAUCAUGGCUCAGGACGAACGCUGGCGGCGUGCUUAAUACAUGCAAGUCGAACGAGAGGAAGGAAAGCUUGCUUUUCUGAAUCUAGUGGCGAACGGGUGAGUAACACGUAGGUAACCUGCCCAUGUGCCCGGGAUAACUUCUGGAAACGGAUGCUAAAACCGGAUAGGUAGCAGACAAGCAUUUGACUGCUAUUAAAGUGGCCUUGGCCAUGAACAUGGAUGGACCUGCGGUGCAUUAG